Long non-coding RNA from Oryzias melastigma (Indian medaka), 589 nucleotides. RefSeq lists it as uncharacterized. The record is from RefSeq and is a predicted model, not a curated record. Lineage: Eukaryota; Metazoa; Chordata; Actinopteri; Beloniformes; Adrianichthyidae. The transcript is spliced from 2 exons.
CAGCUUCAAUUCUCCAGGAAAGCUCCACCGCGGUGGAUUAUUUACAUCAUGAAUCUUUACUGUUUGGAUUAAUGGUGACCUCAUUUCCAUUUGGCACCAGAAGGACAGUUCAACAAAACCACCACAGCGACGUGAGCUCGACGAGGACCCACAUCACCUGGUUCAGCUGAGGCGGACGGUGGUGGACAUCUUUUAUUUUUAGUUCUACAAGGAAGAGCAGCUCCUGGUUCUCUCAUCACUGUGGAGGACGUGAACGGGCGGCGUCUGGAGUCUGGAGCUGUCAUGGGGAUUGGAGAGAACGUCCAGCGGCUGCACACUCUUCAACCCAGCACUAAACUUUUUUUCUCUUUCAUUUCUUACUGAUUUUUUUUUUUCAGUAGAUAGAAAUGUACUCUGUAGGAUCAUGUAUUAGGUUCUUUCAAUAUAAAAACAGACAGUAUUAUCAUAGAUGAUGCUUUCUAACCAUGACAUGUGUAAAGAGGCCCCUACUUUGAAUAAAGGGAAACUAAUUCUGAAUUUUCAAUGAUUAAUGUUUGUAAUGUUUUGAAUCAUUUCAUCUGCUUCAAAAAUAAAAUUUGUACAGAUCUGA